Molecule: ribosomal RNA, 425 nt
Filed under: uncultured bacterium
Lineage: Bacteria
Description: bacterial SSU rRNA
Rfam family: Bacterial small subunit ribosomal RNA
Source: RNAcentral
GUGGGGAAUAUUGGACAAUGGGCGAAAGCCUGAUCCAGCAAUGCCGCGUGAGUGAUGAAGGCCUUAGGGUUGUAAAGCUCUUUUACCAGGGAUGAUAAUGACAGUACCUGGAGAAUAAGCUCCGGCUAACUCCGUGCCAGCAGCCGCGGUAAUACGGAGGGAGCUAGCGUUGUUCGGAAUUACUGGGCGUAAAGCGCACGUAGGCGGUUACUCAAGUCAGAGGUGAAAGCCCGGGGCUCAACCCCGGAACUGCCUUUGAAACUAGGUAACUAGAAUCUUGGAGAGGUCAGUGGAAUUCCGAGUGUAGAGGUGAAAUUCGUAGAUAUUCGGAAGAACACCAGUGGCGAAGGCGACUGACUGGACAAGUAUUGACGCUGAGGUGCGAAAGCGUGGGGAGCAAACAGGAUUAGAUACCCUAGUAGUCC